AAGCGUGCGCAGGCGGUUUUGUAAGACUGUCGUGAAAUCCCCGGGCUCAACCUGGGAAUGGCGAUGGUGACUGCAAGGCUAGAGUUUGGCAGAGGGGGGUAGAAUUCCACGUGUAGCAGUGAAAUGCGUAGAUAUGUGGAGGAACACCGAUGGCGAAGGCACGCCCCCUGGGUCAAAACUGACGCUCAUGCACGAAAGCGUGGGGAGCAAACAGGAUUAGAUACCCUGGU
RNAcentral lists this ribosomal RNA (230 nucleotides) under uncultured bacterium. RNAcentral's name for it is "partial 16S ribosomal RNA". It matches the Rfam family "Bacterial small subunit ribosomal RNA", at positions 563 to 791 of the family's 1533-position model. The record is from RNAcentral.